RNAcentral lists this transfer RNA (69 nucleotides) under Trogopterus xanthipes (complex-toothed flying squirrel). RNAcentral's name for it is "tRNA-Ala". It matches the Rfam family "tRNA". Rfam says of the family: Transfer RNA (tRNA) molecules are approximately 80 nucleotides in length. Their secondary structure includes four short double-helical elements and three loops (D, anti-codon, and T loops). Further hydrogen bonds mediate the characteristic L-shaped molecular structure. tRNAs have two regions of fundamental functional importance: the anti-codon, which is responsible for specific mRNA codon recognition, and the 3' end, to which the tRNAs corresponding amino acid is attached (by aminoacyl-tRNA synthetases). tRNAs cope with the degeneracy of the genetic code in two manners: having more than one tRNA (with a specific anti-codon) for a particular amino acid; and 'wobble' base-pairing, i.e. permitting non-standard base-pairing at the 3rd anti-codon position. RNAcentral also lists the same sequence under 1 other name. Lineage: Eukaryota; Metazoa; Chordata; Mammalia; Rodentia; Sciuridae. The record is from RNAcentral.
AAGGGUUUAGCUUAAUGAAAGCAGCUGAGUUGCAUUCAGUAGAUGUGGGAUAAAGUCUUGCAAUCCUUA